Non-coding RNA from Triticum urartu, 4241 nucleotides. The record is from RefSeq and is a predicted model, not a curated record. NCBI's taxonomy places the organism in Eukaryota, Viridiplantae, Streptophyta, Magnoliopsida, Poales, Poaceae.
CGAGCCAUUCCUCUUCUGCACUCCCCCGCCGAUCUGCAGCUUCUCUCCCCCAAAUCCCUCUCCGGACCGCAGCAUCCUCGCCGCCGUGACCUUCCACGGAGAUGAGGCGCCUUUCUCCGCCUCCCGUCUAAUCCCAUCCCGCCACCGACGGUAGUGAGGGCGCCGGCGGCCACCGUGGGAGGAGGAGGCGUGUGGGGGAUCGCGCAUCGGAACGUCUCCGGCGGCCAAUAGCAGAAUUUUGUUCAAGAAUGAACAUCAGACCACUCACCAUCAUCUUGCCAUGCUAGUUGGUUGAUAAAACUAGAAGUGCACAACGCCCUUAUGAGCAACUGUCGGAAUGCAGAGCUUUUUUGGCCAGAAUCAGCUGCGAGUGGGAAGAAGAAAGCUAGUGAUAAUGAAAGUUUUCGAUGGUCUCUGAGGACGAUUCUUGCGCGAUUUCAGGGGAAAUCGAGAGCCUGAGGUUUCAGCUGGAUGACAAGGUGAAACAACUACACUACUGGAAAAUUGAAGUUGGGAGUUAAACUGACUCUCAAAGUCUCAAGCCCAAGGAGAUGAAAUGCUUGAACACGCAAACCCAGGAGCUCAAAGUCUGGAACAAGGGCUUGGAAAAGAAUGUCGUAGAGGUUAGAAGAUAGUGAAGGGUUACAAAAGGAUUUUUGUGGUUGAGAUCUGAAUGGCCAUUUUUUCUUUUUUGCCAUCAUGCCAUGAUUAUUUGCGUCCAUAUGUAAUAUGUUCAAACCAUGAUGCCAUUUUGUAAAGUCGUAGAUGCCACAGAGCUGAUGUACCUUCUUCUAAUUUUACACUUUAGGAUUGGACAUUCUCUUACCAGUCAUGCUAUCAAAUGUGUUGUCUGCCAACUGUUUAAACUUUACAUUCUCUAUUAAUCAAUCUCCGAGCAGUCAUGAAGUUCCAUACAUUAGUUUACUCAAAUUUAGCAUGGAUAUGCAUCUGCAUCUUUCACUUGUUUCCAUAGUAAUUCCAUACAUUUCUUAUUUGCAUGCUCUUGAUGAUGAGCUCGCUCUUGAUGAUGAGCUCAGUUGCAGAACUUAGUAAAAGCGGGGUCCCAAGGAUCAAAGCAUAGGUGAAAGAUGUUAGGAAGGGGGGAAUUCACAUCAACUACCAAGAGAAAAGACUUGCAGGUUUUCAUCACGUGUCUGCCUAUUAAAGUUGUGUAUAUUUUUUAAAAUUUAAAUCUUCCAAUAUGCAUAUGCUGAAAAUCAUGAAUGUUUUCAUAAUUUUUGAAUUACUUUCUGUUGACUCAGAACGAAAUAAGAGAAAUUAGCUCUUAAGAGUAAAAUGUAUUUGUCUUUUAAUGUGGUUGGCUGUAGUUGUUCUUGCUAAGGGAAAAUUUAGUUUGUAUGCCCACCUUAUAGUGUCUACUUCAUACUGCAGAUAUAGGAACUAGUAAAAGCAGUGUGAGAUUCAGUUCCAAAUCCAAAGCCUUGUACCCCUUCCUUAAAAAAUCUACUGCUUAUAUAUAGUUAAAGGUUGAUCUUAAAUGCAGAUGGUGACAAACUAUGCUAAAUGGUUGAUCAAGAAAUGGGAAGAUUAGGCAUCCAAUAGCAAUAGCAAUAGCAAUAGCACAGAGAUAGGUUCUAAAAAAAAAGCACGGAGAUAGAGCUGACUAGAGGAAACAAUUCCAAAAGUUGGCAAUAGAUGUUGCAUCCGGUACUUGUUUCUGAAGUUACUAAAGGGAGGGAAAAGAAUUGUGUAGAAACAUAUUUGGGCAAGGAGGGUGUAGCGCACGAAUAAUCUGCCACCUACCGUUGCGCCUCUCCUCGCCGCCACUGGCCACCGCAAGCGAGGAAGGCAAUGCCGGCGGCCCCGCACUCCUCCUGGAUGAGCGGCUGCCAUCGGUAACUGCAUGUGAGGAAGGUGACACGGCUGCGAAUCGGUAGUUUUAUUUGCGAGCCAGACUCGCUAGAGCCACGCGUGCCUCUUCGCUGCACGCUUCGGAGAGCGCGGGAGACGGACCGGAUGUCUCAUAACUCCCUUCCCUCUCUCGUGUCACCGUCCACUCCUCCAUUCACACCACUCUCUCACUCUCCUCACCGCUCCUUACUCUCCUCCGAUGGCUCGCCCGCCGCCGCGCCGCCCGCUGACCCCAUCAUCGCCGGAAACAACAAUAUCCAAGACCGGUGGGUGGCCGGCCUCGUGAAUUCAGGCAUUGACCUGAUGGCAGCCAUCCGCGCUCCGUCGCCCUUUUGCACCAGGCCCCAUCAUCGGGCUGAUGAGGUGUCGGCUGCUUCGGCUAUGCCGCUGUAUCCGGACCUGGUGGUCCUGGGUUCGGUUGCGCCGCUCGAGGAGACAUCAGGUGCACCGCUGUUCAGAACCCCAGUGGGUGGAGGGUUUUUUUUAACCCCCAUUCGAGUGUUGCCAAUGCUUUGUUACUAACACAAGUCAUCUUACGUGACAAGAUCAUGAAGAUGGAGUGGGACGUAGCCGGUGGAGGAGCGCAUGCCGUGGCUGGCACCGAGGGCGCCGAGGACCUGAUCCUAACAAAUUGCUUGCUCAAAAGGGUGAACCUGCCUGGCAGGAUCGCUGCCAUGAGCCAACCACCUUCACGGGGACGGUCUCUGAGCACCGGCCACGAAGAGGGGGCAUGAGAGCCGUUGCGUUUCUACGUUCAGAUCAAGGACAUGGAGGAUCUCACCAUGCUCAUCAUCCCGCCCAAGUUCACGGAGGUGAUGAAGUAGCGGCUGGUGAUCAAGGCCCCGCGCGUCGUUACACUGUCGGCCAACAAGUGGUGCGAGUUCUGGGUUCAGGUCCAGAACUUCUUGGGUCAGAUGGUCCUUAACCGAGGCUGGCAGUACUUCUGCCGCCGCCACAGGAUCGUCCCCGGCGACCUCCUCGUCUUGUGAAUCUCCGGGCUUGGCCUCAAGGUGCAGAUCUACAACCACGACAACUCGAUCAUGUGCAGGGGUGCGCUGCAACAGGCACAACUGCAUUGGCAACAUUUCUCUCGCGCUCUAGAAGUCUUAAGUAUAAACAUGUUAGUAGUUUGUGUUGAUGAUGUGAACUAGUGCUGCAAACUUGUUUAUAUUUUGCCAGGAUCAACACGUGAUGUGAAGUAGGGGGCAUGGGAUGCCCCUGUUGUCUUAAACCUUAAACCCUACUAUUAGUAUGCAUGGUUAUCAGUGGUUGUUUAUCUGUUGUUGUGUUGUUAAUUAGGUAGUUUGUUCUUAUGCUAUGCUUGUUGUUGUGCUACAAAUGUGAUGGUAAGGUCACCGAAUUUAAAAGGGAUGAGCAGAACACCAACGUGCACGCAGCCAAACAGGUAUGAUGUGCAUCUGCCGACUUCUGAAGCACAUAUGUGUGCAACCAAACAGCUAGCCCUAAAAUCACCACUGAUGCAAUAUGAACGACCAAACAACAUGCAGAUAUUGAUUUUUAACCUGUUUUUACUCAGCCAGGCUGAACUAAGACAAAUAUGCAAUGCUGGUAAUAUUUGACAUGACAACCAGACACGCGCUUAGCAACUCAGCUCAUUCACUAGGAGGGAUCCUGGACGCGUGGAGGUGGAACCACUGCAAAGCUAGCAGUAUCUAGGCACCUGCGUGAAAACGUUGCCCAGCAUCACAGUCAAACGAUUUUGAUGUGUUGCCUUGAUAUUCCAUGAGUUAAAAGCACUGGGAGUCCUACAACUUGCAUCAAAUGUGAUGGUUUGGUUCAAGAACUUGCAUUUUGACCCUAUCCAGUCCUUGAACUUGCAUCAAAUGUGCAAAUUUGGUCCUGACCAAUCACAAAGUGACAAGUGGACGCCUGGUGCCGACCGGUCAGCACGUGGCAUUUUGCAAAAAGGCCCCUGCCUUUGGUUUGAAUCUACCCGCAGGACACGGUUCCAUUCCAAGCAAGGAUUCCUCACCAUCACUUUGCAAAAAGUAUAGGUCACAGCGCACGUAGUAUCCAACAUUUGAAGCAGAAAAACAAACGUACCAGGGCGGUCACCCCCUUUUACACAAAACUUUUGGCGAGAAAAAAAGACAAAGGGAGGGAUCAAUGUAAGUAGAAAUCGUCUCAGUUUGGACUCGAUAGAAGAGGAAAACGAGCAGAGGAGACGCAACAGCACUAAGGCCAACUCCACCGCACGACCCCAUUUUGUCUGGGUGUGUCCGUUUGAGGUAAAACGGAUAUACCAGACGACCCAGCGGCAGAACUCAUUUUAUCUUUUUGUCCGUUUCGUGUCCGUUUCGCCUCAUCUCUGGAUCAAAGUUGGUCUCGUUUUAAGGCCAAAGCGGACA